This 1398-nucleotide ribosomal RNA is filed under the name uncultured bacterium. RNAcentral's name for it is "bacterial SSU rRNA". It matches the Rfam family "Bacterial small subunit ribosomal RNA". The record is from RNAcentral.
AGAGUUUGAUCCUGGCUCAGGAUGAACGCUGGCGGCGUGCUUAACACAUGCAAGUCGAACGAAGCACUCUAUUUGAUUUCUUCGGAAUGAAGAUUUUGUGACUGAGUGGCGGACGGGUGAGUAACGCGUGGGUAACCUGCCUCAUACAGGGGGAUAACAGUUGGAAACGACUGCUAAUACCGCAUAAGCGCACAGGGUCGCAUGACCUGGUGUGAAAAACUCCGGUGGUAUGAGAUGGACCCGCGUCUGAUUAGCCAGUUGGUGGGGUAACGGCCUACCAAAGCAACGAUCAGUAGCCGACCUGAGAGGGUGACCGGCCACAUUGGGACUGAGACACGGCCCAGACUCCUACGGGAGGCAGCAGUGGGGAAUAUUGCACAAUGGAGGAAACUCUGAUGCAGCGAUGCCGCGUGAGGGAAGAAGGUUUUAGGAUUGUAAACCUCUGUCUUUGGGGACGAAAAAUGACGGUACCCAAGGAGGAAGCUCCGGCUAACUACGUGCCAGCAGCCGCGGUAAUACGUAGGGGGCAAGCGUUAUCCGGAUUUACUGGGUGUAAAGGGAGCGUAGACGGCACGGCAAGCCAGAUGUGAAAGCCCGGGGCUUCACCCCGGGACUGCAUUUGGAACUGCUGACCUAGAGUGUCGGAAAGGCAAGUGGAAUUCCUAGUGUAGCGGUGAAAUGGCGUAGAUAUUAGGAGGAAACCCAUUGGCGAAAGCGGCCUGGUGGAACGAUGACUGACGUAGAAGCUCGAAAGCGGGGGGAGCAAAACAGGGAUUAGUUCCCCUGGUAGUCCACGCCGUAAACGAUGACUGCUAGGUGUGGGGUGGCAAAGCCUUACGGUGCCGCAGCUAACGCAAUAAGCAGUCCACCUGGGGAGUACGUUCGCAAGAAAUGAAACUCAAAGGAAUUGACGGGGACCCGCACAAGCGGUGGAGCAUGUGGUUUAAUUCGAAGCAACGCGAAGAACCUUACCUUGAUCUUGACAUCCCGAUGACCGCUUCGUAAUGGAAGCUUUUCUUCGGAACAUCGGUGACAGGUGGUGCAUGGUUGUCGUCAGCUCGUGUCGUGAGAUGUUGGGUUAAGUCCCGCAACGAGCGCAACCCCUAUCUUCAGUAGCCAGCAGGUUAAGCUGGGCACUCUGGAGAGACUGCCAGGGAUAACCUGGAGGAAGGUGGGGAUGACGUCAAAUCAUCAUGCCCCUUAUGACCAGGGCUACACACGUGCUACAAUGGCGUAAACAAAGAGAAGCGAACUCGCGAGGGUAAGCAAAUCUCAAAAAUAACGUCUCAGUUCGGAUUGUAGUCUGCAACUCGACUACAUGAAGCUGGAAUCGCUAGUAAUCGCAGAUCAGAAUGCUGCGGUGAAUACGAAACCGGGUCUUGCACACGCCGCCCGUCA